This 1416-nucleotide ribosomal RNA is filed under the name Clostridium sp. MSTE9. RNAcentral's name for it is "16S ribosomal RNA". It matches the Rfam family "Bacterial small subunit ribosomal RNA". Lineage: Bacteria; Bacillati; Bacillota; Clostridia; Eubacteriales; Clostridiaceae. The record is from RNAcentral.
UCAGGACGAACGCUGGCGGCAUGCCUAACACAUGCAAGUCGAACGGAGUAAGAGAGAAGCUUGCUUAGCUCUUACUUAGUGGCGGACGGGUGAGUAACGCGUGAGUAACCUGCCUUUCAGAGGGGGAUAACGUUCUGAAAAGAACGCUAAUACCGCAUGAUAUAUUGGGGUCGCAUGGCCUUGGUAUCAAAGGAGCAAUCCGCUGAAAGAUGGACUCGCGUCCGAUUAGCCAGUUGGCGGGGUAAAGGCCCACCAAAGCGACGAUCGGUAGCCGGGUUGAGAGACUGAACGGCCACAUUGGGACUGAGACACGGCCCAGACUCCUACGGGAGGCAGCAGUGGGGGAUAUUGCACAAUGGAGGAAACUCUGAUGCAGCAAUGCCGCGUGAGGGAAGACGGUCUUCGGAUUGUAAACCUCUGUCCUUGGUGAAGAUAAUGACGGUAGCCAAGGAGGAAGCUCCGGCUAACUACGUGCCAGCAGCCGCGGUAAUACGUAGGGAGCAAGCGUUGUCCGGAUUUACUGGGUGUAAAGGGUGCGUAGGCGGCUUUUUAAGUCGGGCGUGAAAGCUGUGGGCUUAACCCACAAAUUGCGUUCGAAACUGGAAGGCUUGAGUGAAGUAGAGGUAGGCGGAAUUCCCGGUGUAGCGGUGAAAUGCGUAGAGAUCGGGAGGAACACCAGUGGCGAAGGCGGCCUACUGGGCUUUAACUGACGCUGAGGCACGAAAGCAUGGGUAGCAAACAGGAUUAGAUACCCUGGUAGUCCAUGCCGUAAACGAUGAUUACUAGGUGUGGGGGGUCUGACCCCUUCCGUGCCGGAGUUAACACAAUAAGUAAUCCACCUGGGGAGUACGGCCGCAAGGUUGAAACUCAAAGGAAUUGACGGGGGCCCGCACAAGCAGUGGAGUAUGUGGUUUAAUUCGAAGCAACGCGAAGAACCUUACCAGGUCUUGACAUCCAACUAACGAGGCAGAGAUGCAUUAGGUGCCCUUCGGGGAAAGUUGAGACAGGUGGUGCAUGGUUGUCGUCAGCUCGUGUCGUGAGAUGUUGGGUUAAGUCCCGCAACGAGCGCAACCCUUGUGAUUAGUUGCUACGCAAGAGCACUCUAAUCAGACUGCCGUUGACAAAACGGAGGAAGGUGGGGACGACGUCAAAUCAUCAUGCCCCUUAUGACCUGGGCUACACACGUACUACAAUGGUCGCUAACAGAGGGAAGCCAAGCCGCGAGGUGGAGCAAACCCCCAAAAGCGAUCUCAGUUCGGAUUGUAGGCUGCAACCCGCCUACAUGAAGUUGGAAUUGCUAGUAAUCGCGGAUCAGCAUGCCGCGGGUGAAUACGUUCCCGGGCCUUGUACACACCGCCCGUCACACCAUGGGAGCCGGUAAUACCCGAAGCCAAUAGUCUAACCGCAAGGGGGACG